This 1149-nucleotide ribosomal RNA is filed under the name uncultured bacterium. RNAcentral's name for it is "bacterial SSU rRNA". It matches the Rfam family "Bacterial small subunit ribosomal RNA", at positions 70 to 1213 of the family's 1533-position model. The record is from RNAcentral.
CAGGGAGUGCUUGCACUCUGCUGACGACCGGCGCACGGGUGCGUAACGCGUAUGCAACCUACCUUUUACAGGGGGAUAGUCAAGAGAAAUUUUGAAUAAUACCCCAUACGAUCCUGAUAUCACCUGAUAUUUGGAAGAAAACUUCGGUGGUAAAAGAUGGGCAUGCGUCCUAUUAGUUAGUUGGUGAGGUAACGGCUCACCAAGACAGCGAUAGGUAGGGGUCCUGAGAGGGAGAUCCCCCACACUGGCACUGAGACACGGACCAGACUCCUACGGGAGGCAGCAGUGAGGAAUAUUGGACAAUGGAGGCAACUCUGAUCCAGCCAUGCCGCGUGCAGGAAGACUGCCCUAUGGGUUGUAAACUGCUUUUAUACAGGAAGAAACCUACUUACGUGUAAGUAGCUGACGGUACUGUACGAAUAAGGAUCGGCUAACUCCGUGCCAGCAGCCGCGGUAAUACGGAGGAUCCAAGCGUUAUCCGGAAUUAUUGGGUUUAAAGGGUCCGUAGGUGGUUUGCUAAGUCAGAGGUGAAAUCCUACCGCUUAACGGUAGCACUGCCUUUGAUACUGGCAAACUUGAGUUAUUGUGAAGUAGUUAGAAUGUGUAGUGUAGCGGUGAAAUGCAUAGAUAUUACACAGAAUACCGAUUGCGAAGGCAGAUUACUAACAAUAUACUGACACUGAGGGACGAAAGCGUGGGUAGCGAACAGGAUUAGAUACCCUGGUAGUCCACGCCGUAAACGAUGGUCACUAGCUGUUUGACUAACAUUGGUUAGUUGAGUGGCUAAGCGAAAGUGAUAAGUGACCCACCUGGGGAGUACGCUCGCAAGAGCGAAACUCAAAGGAAUUGACGGGGGCCCGCACAAGCGGUGGAGCAUGUGGUUUAAUUCGAUGAUACGCGAGGAACCUUACCAGGGCUUAAAUGUAAGUUGCAUGGACCAGAGAUGGACCUUUCUUCGGACUACUUACAAGGUGCUGCAUGGUUGUCGUCAGCUCGUGCCGUGAGGUGUCAGGUUAAGUCCUAUAACGAGCGCAACCCCUAUCGUUGGUUGCCAGCAAGUAAAGUUGGGUACUCUAGCGAGACUGCCGGUGCAAACCGUGAGGAAAGUGGGGGAUGACGUCAAAUCAUCACGGGCCCUUACGUCCUGGG